AUGUAGCAUUGCAUUAUGAUUAAAGAUUUAUUGCUAAAAGAUGGCUAUGCGUUCUAUUAGUUAGUUGGUAAGGUAACGGCUUACCAAGACAUCGAUAGAUAGGGGCCCUGAGAGGGGGAUCCCCCACACUGGUACUGAGACACGGACCAGACUCCUACGGGAGGCAGCAGUGAGGAAUAUUGGACAAUGGAGGCAACUCUGAUCCAGCCAUGCCGCGUGUAGGAAGACUGCCCUAUGGGUUGUAAACUACUUUUAUAGAGGAAGAAACAGUUCCACGUGUGGAACUUUGACGGUACUCUACGAAUAAGGAUCGGCUAACUCCGUGCCAGCAGCCGCGGUAAUACGGAGGAUCCAAGCGUUAUCCGGAAUCAUUGGGUUUAAAGGGUCCGUAGGCGGGUCUGUAAGUCAGUGGUGAAAGUUUUCGGCUCAACCGGAAAAUUGCCAUUGAUACUGCAGGUCUUGAAUCAUUAUGAAGUGGUUAGAAUAAGUAGUGUAGCGGUGAAAUGCAUAGAUAUUACUUAGAAUACCGAUUGCGAAGGCAGAUCACUAAUAAUGUAUUGACGCUAAGGGACGAAAGCGUGGGUAGCGAACAGGAUUAGAUAC
This 603-nucleotide ribosomal RNA is filed under the name Aquimarina amphilecti. RNAcentral's name for it is "bacterial SSU rRNA". It matches the Rfam family "Bacterial small subunit ribosomal RNA", at positions 183 to 785 of the family's 1533-position model. The record is from RNAcentral. Lineage: Bacteria; Pseudomonadati; Bacteroidota; Flavobacteriia; Flavobacteriales; Flavobacteriaceae.